Molecule: ribosomal RNA, 355 nt
Filed under: Carabus olafi olafi
Lineage: Eukaryota; Metazoa; Arthropoda; Insecta; Coleoptera; Carabidae
Description: partial 12S ribosomal RNA
Source: RNAcentral
UUUAAAUGUAAAAUAAAUAUACUAAAGUAGUAUUAGUUAUGUUCUUGAAAUUUAAAGAUUUUGGCGGUAUUUUAGUCUAUUUAGAGGAGCCUGUUCUAUAAUUGAUAAUCCACGAUUAAUUUUACUUGAUUUAUAUAAAUUUGUAUACCGUCGUUAUAAGAAGAUUUUAAAAGAAUAUAAAUUUUUAAUAUUUUAUAUAAAAAAAUAUAUCAGAUCAAGGUGCAGUUUAUAGUUAAGAAGAAAUGGGCUACAAUAAAUUUAUUUAUACGGAUUAGAAUAAGAAUUUAUUUUUAUGAAGGUGGAUUUAAUAGUAAUUAAAUUGAUUUAAAUUUUAUGAUUUUAGCUCUAAAAUAUG